CAAAAAGUAGCUUACACAAAGCAUUCAACUUACAAUUGAAAAACGCUAGAUUACCUGGCCUUUUUGC
RNAcentral lists this transfer RNA (67 nucleotides) under Strobilurus torquatus. RNAcentral's name for it is "tRNA-Val". It matches the Rfam family "tRNA". Rfam says of the family: Transfer RNA (tRNA) molecules are approximately 80 nucleotides in length. Their secondary structure includes four short double-helical elements and three loops (D, anti-codon, and T loops). The record is from RNAcentral. Lineage: Eukaryota; Metazoa; Chordata; Lepidosauria; Squamata; Tropiduridae.